RNAcentral lists this ribosomal RNA (702 nucleotides) under Pedobacter sp. A24MT10. RNAcentral's name for it is "bacterial SSU rRNA". It matches the Rfam family "Bacterial small subunit ribosomal RNA", at positions 112 to 815 of the family's 1533-position model. Lineage: Bacteria; Pseudomonadati; Bacteroidota; Sphingobacteriia; Sphingobacteriales; Sphingobacteriaceae. The record is from RNAcentral.
AACACGUAUGUACCUACCUUAUCAGGGGGAUAGCCUCUCGAAAGAGAGAUAAUACCGCAUAACAUUAUUGAACAGCAUUGUUUAAUAAUCAAAUAUUUAUAGGGAUAAGAUGGGCAUGCGGGACAUUAGCUAGUUGGCGGGGUAACGGCCCACCAAGACCACGAUGUCUAGGGGAUCUGAGAGGAUGACCCCCCACACUGGUACUGAGACACGGACCAGACUCCUACGGGAGGCAGCAGUAAGGAAUAUUGGUCAAUGGGCGCAAGCCUGAACCAGCCAUGCCGCGUGCAGGAAGACGGCCCUACGGGUUGUAAACUGCUUUUGCAGGGGAAUAAACCUCAUUACGUGUAAUGAGCUGAAUGUACUCUGAGAAUAAGGAUCGGCUAACUCCGUGCCAGCAGCCGCGGUAAUACGGAGGAUCCAAGCGUUAUCCGGAUUUAUUGGGUUUAAAGGGUGCGUAGGCGGCUUAUUAAGUCAGGGGUGAAAGACGGUGGCUCAACCAUCGCAGUGCCCUUGAUACUGAAGGGCUUGAAUACACUAGAGGUAGGCGGAAUGUGACAAGUAGCGGUGAAAUGCAUAGAUAUGUCACAGAACACCAAUUGCGAAGGCAGCUUACUAUGGUGUGAUUGACGCUGAGGCACGAAAGCGUGGGGAUCAAACAGGAUUAGAUACCCUGGUAGUCCACGCCCUAAACGAUGAACA